UGGGGGAUAUUGCACAAUGGGCGCAAGCCUGAUGCAGCGACGCCGCGUGGGGGAUGAAGGCCUUCGGGUUGUAAACUUCUUUUGCUCUGAACAAGGCGCACUUUGGGGUGUGUUGAGUGUAGGGGUUGAUUAGCGCCGGCUAACUACGUGCCAGCAGCCGCGGUAAUACGUAGGGCGCGAGCGUUGUCCGGAAUUAUUGGGCGUAAAGGGCUUGUAGGUGGCUGGUUGCGUCUGUCGUGAAAGCUCAUGGCUUAACUGUGGGUUUGCGGUGGGUACGGGCUGGCUUGAGUGCAGUAGGGGAGGCUUGAAUUCCUGGUGUAGCGGUGGAAUGCGCAGAUAUCAGGAGGAAUACCGGUGGCGAAGGCGGGUCUCUGGGCUGUUACUGACACUGAGGAGCGAAAGCAUGGGGAGCGAACAGG
This 419-nucleotide ribosomal RNA is filed under the name bacterium. RNAcentral describes it as "partial 16S ribosomal RNA". It matches the Rfam family "Bacterial small subunit ribosomal RNA", at positions 355 to 776 of the family's 1533-position model. The record is from RNAcentral.